CGCAGACCUGGCAACCCUGGAUGCGAGAGAAUCGAAGGUGUUCGGCGAGAGAAGGGUGUGAAAAAACUGAACAUAAAACACGGACUAUUGUGGUGUUGAAAGCGUGUGGAUAAAAGUAUCCCUGCAGUUUAAACUCACACCCACAGCCUGCACCGGAGGAGAAGAGACGGACGAGAGGAUACCAGAUAGCGCACCUGGCGACCAGGUAAAGCCCUGCUGCACCUCUGGCUACGCGGGAGGAGAGACUUUCUGCAUUAGCGUGGAGGCCCUGCUGAACGGAGCCGCCAUUUUGGCUCAGAGGACUGCAGUGAGGCGGCGGAGCUGCUGAGAAACGUGAUGAGACAAAGCCGACGCGGCGUCUUGUCAUCGUCUCGCUGCACGUCGUCAUCAGGAACGACAAACAACCUGCAGCAGAAACCUGGAAGCUUCUGGAGGCAGAUCGGAGCUGCAGCGUGCAUCUGGGCGACCAGCGCUGGAAAACACCUCCCAAAGUAAAAGUCCUGCGUUUCAAAUGUUCCUCCAGUGUAAA
Myripristis murdjan (pinecone soldierfish) is the source of this 529-nucleotide long non-coding RNA. RefSeq lists it as uncharacterized. The record is from RefSeq and is a predicted model, not a curated record. The transcript is spliced from 3 exons. Lineage: Eukaryota; Metazoa; Chordata; Actinopteri; Holocentriformes; Holocentridae.